This 1677-nucleotide long non-coding RNA is filed under the name Podarcis lilfordi (Lilford's wall lizard). The record is from RNAcentral. Lineage: Eukaryota; Metazoa; Chordata; Lepidosauria; Squamata; Lacertidae.
GACUUCCGGGGUGGCGCCUCCGGAAAAUGGCGGAAUUCCCUUCGAAUUGAAGGGAACCCGCUCCACGGAAAUCGGGUCCUACCGCUACGGCGCAGCGGGGACCCUUUAAAAACCACAGGCGGAGGAAGCCUGUGGCCGUGGGACUCGGCGGGCACCGUUUGCGCCCUUCUAUCUUACAAAGGAGCCCGGUAACGGGCUCCAGAGUGGGGAAGUGGUGUGGUGCUGUGAGUCGUCUGCUACUUUCGUGGAGCGAAGCCGCACUGCCGUUGCCGGAGAGCGCUGCCUUUUUCCUGGGACAAUUUGGCAUUUAAAACAAUCACCUGUGAGUAUUUGAAUAUUGAAGAGCUGGAUUUUUAUAAAGACUGGUGAUCAGUAACAAAUUGGACUUGAAAUUUGAUCUAAUCUGGAUUUGGAACGGGAAGGUCUAAACAGGAAGUCAGCCUUCCGUUCUCUUGUUAUUAGAAGAAAGCAAAGAUAAAGUGCACUAGAGCCUAAAAAAUAAAUUUUUGGAGGACUAGAUUUCACCAUUUAAGAUUCUUGAACCCCCCUUUGAUUGCAGGAGAAGAAGGGGUUUUUUUUCCGGACUGUUUAAUCCUGCGGAAGUGAGUUUAAAAACAAAGUAAUUUUCCACCGCCCUGAACCUGGAGCGGGGUGUCAGAACUGACGUUUUGAAGUUCGCUGACCAGUUUGACAGAUAGUUAAAAGAAGAGUAACAUUGUGACUUUAUUGUUGCCUUUUGCAUUCUAAAGGGAAAAUUUUGGACAAAAUAUCUUUGGGAAAGAGAAAUUGUGUUGCUAUUGCUCUUAAAAGAAGAAACAGAAGCUUUCCCCCUAGUGGGAUUUGGUGAAACUGUAACUUAGAGAGCUUGCAACUGAAAAAUCACCGUGAGAAAGGAUUUGUGACCUUGAAGGACAAUGCUUUUACAAAUACUGUUGGAGGGUUUCUCAAAACUAAGUGCCCAGCUGGAUCGGCUGUGUGAGAAGACGGAUUUGAUGACGGAGGCUACCAGAGCAUUGGAACAAGCGACUGGAAAUUAUUUGAAGUCCAAUCAGGACUUUGAACAGGAGGGUGUUCUGGCAGGGCAGAUGAAGGAAGAGGAUGCUGUAGAGUUGGGGGCCCCAGAGAUGGAGGGACUUUUGGUCCGGCAGAAAAACCAGCCUCUGGACUUGAUGGAUGAACUUGGGAGAAACCAGACUGGGAAAGAUGGAGUUUGGCUAGCUUUGGAAAUGGGGGGCUGGAUUGACCCCCCUAUGUAUGGAUAUUUGGACUUUCCGAGUCUGGUGAUGGGUCGUCGGAGGUUUGGAGUAGUUGGGGCCUCCAAUUUUGGAGGGAAUGUGAAGAGGUACUAUCUGCUGUCUGGCUUGGACGAUGGGUAUGGGGCUGAUUUGUUGAAAAGGGUCAAGAGUAUCUUUUUGCUGGAGUAUCCACGAGUGAAAGGAAAAUAUCAAGAAGAGCUGCGAAAGGGGCAUGAAAGAGAUUUGAGGGCCUUGGACACGAGACUACCAGGUUAAUGAGCUUGACUAAUGAAAUAAAAAGGACUGACAAUCCCGGGACCAGGAGGAGGGGACGCUGGAAGAUGACUGGAUUGUGUUUGACUUAUUCUUUUUUCUUUUUUCUAAUAUUUGGAAUGUUUAUGAAUGUUGAAAAAAUGUUGAAAUGAAACUAUAUGGCUUUUGU